This 699-nucleotide ribosomal RNA is filed under the name uncultured Vagococcus sp. RNAcentral's name for it is "bacterial SSU rRNA". It matches the Rfam family "Bacterial small subunit ribosomal RNA", at positions 801 to 1502 of the family's 1533-position model. Lineage: Bacteria; Bacillati; Bacillota; Bacilli; Lactobacillales; Enterococcaceae. The record is from RNAcentral.
CGUAAACGAUGAGUGCUAAGUGUUAGGGGGUUUCCCCCCUUAGUGCCGCAGCUAACGCAUUAAGCACUCCGCUGGGGAGUACGACCGCAAGGUUGAAACUCAAAGGAAUUGACGGGGGCCCGCACAAGCGGUGGAGCAUGUGGUUUAAUUCGAAGCAACGCGAAGAACCUUACCAGGUCUUGACAUCCUUUGACAACUCUAGAGAUAGAGCUUUCCCUUCGGGGACAAAGUGACAGGUGGUGCAUGGUUGUCGUCAGCUCGUGUCGUGAGAUGUUGGGUUAAGUCCCGCAACGAGCGCAACCCUUAUUGUUAGUUGCCAUCAUUCAGUUGGGCACUCUAGCGAAACUGCCGGUGACAAACCGGAGGAAGGUGGGGAUGACGUCAAAUCAUCAUGCCCCUUAUGACCUGGGCUACACACGUGCUACAAUGGACAGUACAAUGAGCAGCGACACGGCGACGUGAAGCGAAUCUCAUAAAGCUGUCCUCAGUUCGGAUUGUAGGCUGCAACUCGCCUACAUGAAGCCGGAAUCGCUAGUAAUCGCGGAUCAGCACGCCGCGGUGAAUACGUUCCCGGGCCUUGUACACACCGCCCGUCACACCACGAAAGUUUGUAACACCCAAAGUCGGUGAGGGAACCUUCGGGAGCCAGCCGCCUAAGGUGGGAUAGAUGAUUGGGGUGAAGUCGUAACAAGGUAACCA